AGUCGUAACAAGGUAUCCGUAGGUGAACCUGCGGAUGGAUCAUUACCAAAGACCUUUGUCUUUUACGUUAUGUGAACAGUUUAGGGUUUUGAGGUGUCGGGGAAGUGUGUGUGUGUGUGUGUGUGGUUAAUGUUGUGGUCUUGUGUCACACAGAGACCCAGACCCACCCGCGCUCCGCGGCUCCUUGUUUUUGAACUACGUAAUUUUUGAAACUGAAGUCUGCCAUUGAGAUUAGUGGAAAACUAAAAAACAACUUUUAGCAACGGAUCUCUUGGCUCUC
RNAcentral lists this unclassified non-coding RNA (280 nucleotides) under fungal sp. Its description in RNAcentral is "partial internal transcribed spacer region". The stretch from base 1 to 45 matches the Rfam family "Eukaryotic small subunit ribosomal RNA", at positions 1787 to 1831 of the family's 1831-position model. Lineage: Eukaryota; Fungi. The record is from RNAcentral.